Vombatus ursinus (common wombat) is the source of this 1178-nucleotide long non-coding RNA. RefSeq lists it as uncharacterized. Lineage: Eukaryota; Metazoa; Chordata; Mammalia; Diprotodontia; Vombatidae. The transcript has 3 exons. The record is from RefSeq and is a predicted model, not a curated record.
GCUUCUCUCAACAGGAUAACUAUUGCAAAACGCCCAGAUCUCCACUUUGGCCAGUCUGUAGACUCCCCAGGGAUUGGGCGCAUCUAGGCAGAUUUUUGGAGGUUAAGAUGUCCCCUGCUUUUUCUUCACUUUCCAGAGGUGCUCAGUGAUCCUGAUGGGAACCCCAUGGAUUUCAACUGAGCCCAGAUUCUUUUGUGAAUUCUUUUUAUUUUCCUCAAAUACAAUGUGUUCCCAGUAAUUGCCCACAAGUGACUGUGGAAAAACACCAGCAUCAAUGGAUCGUCAGACACUGGUUUCAUCCAGAUAGUGAAGGAGCAACAGGGCAACCAGCCGGGUCCGGAUCCAACAAAAUGGUGAACUGGGACUAGGCUUGUCCCCCUUCUACAGCUGUGACUGUCACUGUGGAAGUCAGGCAGGUUUGGCUGCCCUCGAAGUCUAGAAAACACAAGCAGCUCCUUCCCUUCCAGGACAAGUCCAAGGAGAAGGGCUGGUAACCAGCUAACCUUCAGCUGUCAUCAGCACAGAAAGCAGCGCCAGAUUCUGAAAAGAUGUCAGGAGGAGACCUGACGAAGGACGAUGAUUCAUGAAACAAAGCCACGCGCUCCACCUGCACGUACCUGGGAGCAAACACCUCCACAUCGCCUGAGAUACUGCUGAGUAAAAAAAAAUGCCCUGGCCAGGACUUGGAGGCAACACGGUGGACACACCAGGCUACAUAUUAACAGAUGAAGGUUCUCCUACUGUAUGACCUUUGUUUGGGCAAAAUAUGUACCCUAUGGUUUUCCCAUCUGUAAGAUGGAGAUUGAUAACGCUUCUUACCUUACUCGCUUUACCAGCCUUUUAUGAGAAUCAGCUAAGAGCUGAUUAGAGGUCAUGGGGUCCAACUGCCUCAUUUUAUGGCUAGGGAAACUGAGGCAGAGAGAUGUUCUGACUUGCCUAAGGUUGCAGAGGUGGCGAGUGGCGCAGUUAGAAUUCAAACCAAGGUCCCCUGGCUCCAAGGAGAGAGCUCCCAUUGCAUCAGGAAAGCUUCAUACAAAUGCAAGGUGUUUUUAGAAAUGUUUGUUGUUGGACUGCUAAAUAGAGUGCACCAAGACCAUGACGGAACCAGGCUCGUUACUGUGAAAAGGGUUACACGAGGAAGCUGGACACCCAGACUCCUGACUCCUGUAAUGGAAUCU